Long non-coding RNA from Cydia splendana, 304 nucleotides. RefSeq lists it as uncharacterized. The transcript is spliced from 2 exons. Lineage: Eukaryota; Metazoa; Arthropoda; Insecta; Lepidoptera; Tortricidae. The record is from RefSeq and is a predicted model, not a curated record.
UACAUUUGCCAUGCUAAUUUUUAGCAGGAAUUUUAGCUUAUAAUUAUGUAUUCAAUUGCCUUAAUAUCCCAUAAACACAUUUUAAAUGGCACUUUACACCAUUCUUUUUGGAAUGAGCAUAUUUUUAAUAGCGUUGGUGUCAGCUAUAAUCAAGAAAAUGUUCUUUCAUUGGAAAGAGGAGCACAAAAUCGAAACAAUGAUGGUGCCUACUUAUAUGGAACAUCCCACGGUCAGUGUUAUAAUAAUAUGCGACAAGUGCGUAUUCCGCCGUCGUACGUUUGCCGAUAAUCUGUCCGUCUUCGAU